This 73-nucleotide transfer RNA is filed under the name Parcubacteria bacterium C7867-005. Its description in RNAcentral is "tRNA-Asn". It matches the Rfam family "tRNA". From Rfam's summary of the family: Transfer RNA (tRNA) molecules are approximately 80 nucleotides in length. RNAcentral also lists the same sequence under 2 other names. The record is from RNAcentral. Lineage: Bacteria; Candidatus Parcubacteria.
UCCGCGUUAGCUCAGCUGGUAGAGCAAGCGACUGUUAAUCGCUAGGUCCUAGGUUCGAGCCCUAGACGCGGAG